RNAcentral lists this unclassified non-coding RNA (333 nucleotides) under soil metagenome. Its description in RNAcentral is "partial contains 5.8S ribosomal RNA, internal transcribed spacer 2, and large subunit ribosomal RNA". The stretch from base 1 to 120 matches the Rfam family "5.8S ribosomal RNA", at positions 35 to 154 of the family's 154-position model. The record is from RNAcentral.
GAUGAAGAACGCAGCGAAAUGCGAUAAGUAGUGUGAAUUGCAGAAUUCAGUGAAUCAUCGAAUCUUUGAACGCACAUUGCGCCCGCCAGUAUUCUGGCGGGCAUGCCUGUUCGAGCGUCAUUUCAACCAUCAAGCCCCCGGGCCUGUGUUGGGGACCUGCGGCUGCCCGCAGGCCCCGAAAACCAGUGGCGGGCUCGCUGUCACCCCGAGCGUAGUAGCUAACACCUCGCCCAGGGAGUGCCGCGGGUCCCGGCCGUAAAACCUAACACCUAAGGUUGACCUCGGAUCAGGUAGGAAGACCCGCUGAACUUAAGCAUAUCAAUAAGCGGAGGA